CCUGGUGGCCAUAGCGUGGGGGUUCCACCCGAUCCCAUCCCGAACUCGGUAGUUAAGCCCCACAGCGCCGAUAAUACUUCGCGGGAGACCGUGCGGGAAGGUAGGACGUUGCCAGGA
RNAcentral lists this ribosomal RNA (117 nucleotides) under Terriglobia bacterium. Lineage: Bacteria; Pseudomonadati; Acidobacteriota; Terriglobia. The record is from RNAcentral.